GACGAACGCUGGCGGCGUGCUUAACACAUGCAAGUCGAACGGUGAAGCGCCUUCCUUUUUGGUGGGUGUGGAUGAGUGGCGAACGGGUGAGUAACACGUGAGUAACCUGCCCCCUUCUUCUGGAUAACCGCAUUAAAGUGUGGCUAAUACGGGAUAUUCUGGGUCUGUCGCAUGAUGGGUCUGGGUAAGCUAUUGUUUCGGUGGUGGCUGCGCUCGCGGCCUAUCAGCUUGUUGGUGGGGUGAUGGCCUACCACGGCGGUGACGGGUAGACGGCGUGAGAGGGUAGACGGUCACACUGGGAGUGAGACACGGCUGAGACUCAUACGGGGGGCAGCAGUGGGGGAGAUUGAGCAGUGGGCGCAAGCCUGAUGCGGGGACGCGGCGUGAGGGAUGAAGGCCUGCGGGUGGUGAACCUCUUUCGCCAGUGAAGCGGGCCUGCCUCGGUUGUAGGGGGGGUGACGGUAGCUGGAUAAGAAGCGCCGGCUAACUACGUG
Molecule: ribosomal RNA, 494 nt
Filed under: uncultured bacterium
Lineage: Bacteria
Description: partial 16S ribosomal RNA
Rfam family: Bacterial small subunit ribosomal RNA
Source: RNAcentral